CCUACGGGUGACAGCAGUGAGGAAUAUUGGUCAAUGGGCGCUAGCCUGACCCAGCCACGUAGCGUGAAGGAUGACUGCCCUAUGGGUUGUAACCUUCUUUUACAUGGGAAUAAAGUGCAGUAUGUAUACUGCUUUGCAUGUACCUUAUGAAUAAGGAUCGGCUAACUCCGUGCCAGCAGCCGCGGUAAUACGGAGGAUCCGAGCGUUAUCUGGAUUUAUUGGGUUUAAAGGGAGCGUAGGCGGGUUGUUAAGUCAGUUGUGAAAGUCUGCGGCUCAACCGUACAAUUGCAGUUGAUACUGGCAUCCUUGAGUACGGUAGAGGUAGGCGGAAUUCGUGGUGUAGCGGUGAAAUGCUUAGAUAUCACGAAGAACUCCGAUUGCGAAGGCAGCCUGCUGGACUGUAACUGACGCUGAUGCGCGAAAGUGUGGGUAGCAAACAGGAUUAGAUACCCGUGUAGUC
RNAcentral lists this ribosomal RNA (460 nucleotides) under uncultured bacterium. RNAcentral describes it as "partial 16S ribosomal RNA". It matches the Rfam family "Bacterial small subunit ribosomal RNA", at positions 338 to 795 of the family's 1533-position model. The record is from RNAcentral.